AUUGAACGCUGGCGGCAUGCCUUACACAUGCAAGUCGAACGGCAGCACGGGUGCUUGCACCUGGUGGCGAGUGGCGAACGGGUGAGUAAUACAUCGGAACAUUUCCUGUAGUGGGGGAUAGCCCGGCGAAAGCCGGAUUAAUACCGCAUACGAUCCACGGAUGAAAGCGGGGGACCUUCGGGCCUCGCGCUAUGGGGUUGGCCGAUGGCUGAUUAGCUAGUUGGUGGGGUAAAGGCCUACCAAGGCGACGAUCAGUAGCUGGUCUGAGAGGACGACCAGCCACACUGGGACUGAGACACGGCCCAGAAUCCUAAGGGAGGCAGCAGUGGGGAAUUUUGGACAAUGGGCGAAAGCCUGAUCAAGCAAUGCCGCGUGUGUGAAGAAGGCCUUCGGGUUGUAAAGCACUUUUGUCCGGAAAGAAAUCCUUGACUCUAAUACAGUCGGGGGAUGACGGUACCGGAAGAAUAAGCACCGGCUAACUACGUG
This 486-nucleotide ribosomal RNA is filed under the name uncultured bacterium. RNAcentral describes it as "partial 16S ribosomal RNA". It matches the Rfam family "Bacterial small subunit ribosomal RNA", at positions 30 to 507 of the family's 1533-position model. The record is from RNAcentral.